AGUGAACGCUGGCGGUAGGCCUAACGCAUGCAAGUGGAACGGCAGCACAGUAAGAGCUUGCUCUUACGGGUGGCGAGUGGCGGACGGGUGAGGAAUACAUCGGAAUCUACUUUUUCGUGGGGGAUAACGUAGGGAAACUUACGCUAAUACCGCAUACGACCUACGGGUGAAAGCAGGGGAUCUUCGGACCUUGCGCGAUUGAAUGAGCCGAUGUCGGAUUAGCUAGUUGGCGGGGUAAAGGCCCACCAAGGCGACGAUCCGUAGCUGGUCUGAGAGGAUGAUCAGCCACACUGGAACUGAGACACGGUCCAGACUCCUACGGGAGGCAGCAGUGGGGAAUAUUGGACAAUGGGCGCAAGCCUGAUCCAGCCAUACCGCGUGGGUGAAGAAGGCCUUCGGGUUGUAAAGCCCUUUUGUUGGGAAAGAAAAGCAGCAGGUUAAUACCCCGCUGUUCUGACGGUACCCAAAGAAUAAGCACCGGCUAACUUCGUG
This 492-nucleotide ribosomal RNA is filed under the name uncultured bacterium. Its description in RNAcentral is "partial 16S ribosomal RNA". It matches the Rfam family "Bacterial small subunit ribosomal RNA", at positions 29 to 507 of the family's 1533-position model. The record is from RNAcentral.